RNAcentral lists this ribosomal RNA (483 nucleotides) under uncultured bacterium. RNAcentral's name for it is "partial 16S ribosomal RNA". It matches the Rfam family "Bacterial small subunit ribosomal RNA", at positions 30 to 507 of the family's 1533-position model. The record is from RNAcentral.
AUUGAACGCUGGCGGCAGGCCUAACACAUGCAAGUCGAGCGGAUGAAGGGAGCUUGCUCCUGGAUUCAGCGGCGGACGGGUGAGUAAUGCCUAGGAAUCUGCCUGCUAGUGGGGAUAACGUCCGGAAACGGGCGCUAAUACCGCAUACGUCCUGAGGGAGCAAGUGGGGGAUCUUCGGACCUCACGCUAUCAGGUGAGCCUAGGUCGGAUUAGCUAGUUGGUGGGGUAAAGGCCUACCAAGGCGACGAUCCGUACCUGGUCUGAGAGGAUGAUCAGUCACCCUGGAAGUGUGACACGGUCCAGACUGCUACGGGAAGCAGCAGUAGGGAAUAUUGGAGAAUGGGCGAAAGCCUGAUCCAGCCAUGCCGCGUGUGUGAAGAAGGUCUUCGGAUUGUAAAGCACUUUAAGUUGGGAGGAAGAGCAGUAUGUUAAUACCUUGCUGUAUUGACGUUACCAACAGAAUAAGCACCGGCUAACUUCGUG